RNAcentral lists this ribosomal RNA (490 nucleotides) under uncultured bacterium. Its description in RNAcentral is "partial 16S ribosomal RNA". It matches the Rfam family "Bacterial small subunit ribosomal RNA", at positions 28 to 507 of the family's 1533-position model. The record is from RNAcentral.
GAUGAACGCUAGCGGCAGGCCUAAUACAUGCAAGUCGAACGGGAUCCAGAUCAAAGCUUGCUUUGGUUUGGCGAGAGUGGCGCACGGGUGCGUAACGCGUGAGCAACCUACCCUUGUCAGGGGGAUAGCCCGGCGAAAGUCGGAUUAAUACCGCAUGACAUCAUUGAGAGGCAUCUUUCGAUGAUCAAAGAUUUAUCGGACAAGGAUGGGCUCGCGUGACAUUAGCUAGUUGGUAAGGUAACGGCUUACCAAGGCUACGAUGUCUAGGGGCUCUGAGAGGAGAAUCCCCCACACUGGUACUGAGACACGGACCAGACUCCUACGGGAGGCAGCAGUAAGGAAUAUUGGUCAAUGGACGGAAGUCUGAACCAGCCAUGCCGCGUGCAGGAAGACGGCCCUAUGGGUUGUAAACUGCUUUUAUACGGGAACAAACGUCGGUACGUGUACCGGUCUGAGUGUACCGUAAGAAUAAGGAUCGGCUAACUCCGUG